UGAUUACAAUAGGUAUUUUACAUCAGC
RNAcentral lists this small RNA (27 nucleotides) under Bombyx mori (domestic silkworm). RNAcentral describes it as "ovarian small RNA-8388". Lineage: Eukaryota; Metazoa; Arthropoda; Insecta; Lepidoptera; Bombycidae. The record is from RNAcentral.